RNAcentral lists this ribosomal RNA (468 nucleotides) under uncultured bacterium. Its description in RNAcentral is "partial 16S ribosomal RNA". It matches the Rfam family "Bacterial small subunit ribosomal RNA", at positions 28 to 507 of the family's 1533-position model. The record is from RNAcentral.
GACGAACGCUGGCGGCGUGCUUAACACAUGCAAGUCGAACGGAAAGGCCCUGCUUUUGUGGGGUGCUCGAGUGGCGAACGGGUGAGUAACACGUGAGUAACCUGCCCUUGACUUUGGGAUAACUUCAGGAAACUGGGGCUAAUACCGGAUAGGAGCUCCUGCUGCAUGGUGGGGGUUGGAAAGUUUCGGCGGUUGGGGAUGGACUCGCGGCUUAUCAGCUUGUUGGUGGGGUAGUGGCUUACCAAGGCUUUGACGGGUAGCCGGCCUGAGAGGGUGACCGGCCACAAUGGGACUGAGGUACGGCCCAGUCUCCUACGGGAGGCAGCAGUGGGGAAUAUUGCACAAUGGGCGGAAGCCUGAUGCAGCAACGCCGCGUGCGGGAUGACGGCCUUCGGGUUGUAAACCGCUUUCGCCUGUGACGAAGCGUGAGUGACGGUAAUGGGUAAAGAAGCACCGGCUAACUACGUG